Molecule: ribosomal RNA, 584 nt
Filed under: uncultured bacterium
Lineage: Bacteria
Description: partial 16S ribosomal RNA
Rfam family: Bacterial small subunit ribosomal RNA
Source: RNAcentral
UAAGGAAUAUUGGUCAAUGGACGCAAGUCUGAACCAGCCAUGCCGCGUGGAGGAUGAAGGUCCUCUGGAUUGUAAACUUCUUUUAUCUGGGACGAAAAAAGGGAAUUCUUUCUCGUCUGACGGUACCAGAUGAAUAAGCACCGGCUAACUCCGUGCCAGCAGCCGCGGUAAUACGGAGGGUGCAAGCGUUAUCCGGAUUCACUGGGUUUAAAGGGUGCGUAGGCGGGUAUGUAAGUCCGUGGUGAAAUCUCCGAGCUUAACUCGGAAACUGCCGUGGGUACUGCGUAUCUUGAAUGUUGUGGAGGUGAGCGGAAUAUGUCAUGUAGCGGUGAAAUGCUUAGAUAUGACAUAGAACACCAAUUGCGAAGGCAGCUCACUACACAGAAAAUUGACGCUGAGGCACGAAAGCGUGGGGAUCAAACAGGAUUAGAUACCCUGGUAGUCCACGCCCUAAACGAUGAUUACUCGACAUACGCGAUACACAGUGUGUGUCUGAGCGAAAAGCAUUAAGUAAAUCCACCUGGGGAAGUACGACCGCAAGGUUGAAACUCAAAUGAAAUUGACGGGGUCAUAGCUGUUUCCUG